GGUAGCCUACGGGGCGCAGCAGUGGGGAAUAUUGCACAAUGGGCGAAAGCCUGAUGCAGCAACGCCGCGUGAAGGAAGAAGGGUUUCGGCUCGUAAACUUCUAUCAACAGGGACGAAAGAAAUGACGGUACCUGAAUAAGAAGCCCCGGCUAACUACGUGCCAGCAGCCGCGGUAAUACGUAGGGGGCAAGCGUUAACCGGAAUUACUGGGUGUAAAGGGUGAGUAGGCGGCAUGGGAAGCCAGAUGUGAAAGCCCUGGGCUUAACCCGAGGAUUGCAUUUGGAACUAACAAGCUUGAGAACAGG
This 305-nucleotide ribosomal RNA is filed under the name uncultured bacterium. RNAcentral's name for it is "bacterial SSU rRNA". It matches the Rfam family "Bacterial small subunit ribosomal RNA", at positions 333 to 652 of the family's 1533-position model. The record is from RNAcentral.